UCUCCGUAGGUGAACCUGCGGAGGGAUCAUUACUGAACGAUCAUCCUUGAUCUUCUACCCUCAAACCCUGUGGACACAAGAUGUGCUUCGGCGUGCGAGCGCCGCCUUUAUGCAUCAAGUUGUUUAUGUCUGAAUCAAUAAUGUCAAAACUUUCAACAAAGGAUCUCUUGGCUCUCGCAUCGAUGAAGAACGUAGC
This 196-nucleotide unclassified non-coding RNA is filed under the name plant metagenome. RNAcentral's name for it is "partial contains small subunit ribosomal RNA, internal transcribed spacer 1, and 5.8S ribosomal RNA". The stretch from base 148 to 196 matches the Rfam family "5.8S ribosomal RNA", at positions 1 to 49 of the family's 154-position model. The record is from RNAcentral.